This 394-nucleotide ribosomal RNA is filed under the name uncultured Alphaproteobacteria bacterium. RNAcentral's name for it is "bacterial SSU rRNA". It matches the Rfam family "Bacterial small subunit ribosomal RNA", at positions 9 to 429 of the family's 1533-position model. Lineage: Bacteria; Pseudomonadati; Pseudomonadota; Alphaproteobacteria. The record is from RNAcentral.
GAGUUUGAUCGUGGCUCAGAACGAACGCUGGCGGCAGGCUUAACACAUGCAAGUCGAACGGACGUAGCAAUACGUUAGUGGCGCACGGGUGAGUAACGCGUGGAUAUCUGCCUUUUGGUUCGGGAUAACCUUGGGAAACUAGGGCUAAUACCGAAUGGUUCCUACGGGAUAAAGAUUUAUCGCCAAAAGAUGAGUCCGCGUCCGAUUAGCUAGUUGGCGGGGUAACGGCCCACCAAGGCGACGAUCGGUAGCUGGUCUGAGAGGACGAUCAGCCACACUGGGACUGAGACACGGCCCAGACUCCUACGGGAGGCAGCAGUGGGGAAUAUUGGACAAUGGGGGCAACCCUGAUCCAGCCAUGCCGCGUGAGUGAUGAAGGCCUUCGGGUUGUAAG